CACUCCAUUACAUUUUAGUCCUGUCAUAAUGGCAAAUUCACCUAACCCAAAAUGUAUCAAUGAACCAUUCACUAGUAGCCAAAUCUCAUCAGUUUUUUCUUGAACAACCUCCAUCAUCAAUAAGGAAUGUAUCAAUUGUGUUUGAAUCAUCACUGGAGGUAAUUUGAGAAAAAAUCCAAAACAAGUGUCACUAAAUAUUUG
RNAcentral lists this long non-coding RNA (201 nucleotides) under Solanum tuberosum (potato). Its description in RNAcentral is "long non-coding RNA (STUB_LNC006706)". Lineage: Eukaryota; Viridiplantae; Streptophyta; Magnoliopsida; Solanales; Solanaceae. The record is from RNAcentral.